AUUGAACGCUGGCGGCAUGCUUUACACAUGCAAGUCGAACGGCAGCGCGGGCUUCGGCCUGGCGGCGAGUGGCGAACGGGUGAGUAAUGCAUCGGAACGUGCCCAGUAGUGGGGGAUAGCCCGGCGAAAGCCGGAUUAAUACCGCAUACGACCUGAGGGUGAAAGCGGGGGACCGAAAGGCCUCGCGCUAUUGGAGCGGCCGAUGUCGGAUUAGCUAGUUGGUGGGGUAAAGGCUUACCAAGGCGACGAUCCGUAGCUGGUCUGAGAGGACGACCAGCCACACUGGGACUGAGACACGGCCCAGACUCCUACGGGAGGCAGCAGUGGGGAAUUAUGGACAAUGGGGGCAACCCUGAUCCAGCCAUGCCGCGUGCGGGAAGAAGGCCUUCGGGUUGUAAACCGCUUUUGUUCGGGAAGAAAUCCUCUGGGCUAAUACCCCGGGGGGAUGACGGUACCGGAAGAAUAAGCACCGGCUAACUACGUG
This 484-nucleotide ribosomal RNA is filed under the name uncultured bacterium. RNAcentral describes it as "partial 16S ribosomal RNA". It matches the Rfam family "Bacterial small subunit ribosomal RNA", at positions 29 to 507 of the family's 1533-position model. The record is from RNAcentral.